AUGGCAGGGCGACGAGUGCUGGUACGCUGCGUGCUGAGCGCCAUGCCAACCUUCGCGCUCACCGUCCUCCGCCUGCCGAAGAAGAUACUACGGGAGAUCGACAAGUGCAGGCGGCGCUUCCUUUGGAGCCAAGAUGAGGAGAUCACUGGGGCCAGUUGCAAGGUGAAUUGGCCGACGGUGUGUGCCCCAACGGAGCAGGGGGGCCUCGACGUCCCCGACCUCCAGCGUUUUGGCCGAGCGCUCCGGCUGCGCUGGCUGUGGAUCGCAUGGCACCACCUGGAAAGGCCCUGGGUGGGGUCCGAGCUACCAUGCGACGACGCGGACAGGGCUCUCUUCUCGGCAUCGACUAAGGUGACGAUCGGAGAUGGGACGCGGGCAUCUUUCUGGCUGUCCCCGUGGCUGGGACAUGGAACUCUAUCGCAGCGCUUCCCCCGACUCUACAUCCACUCACGACGCAAGCAUAGAACUGUCCACGAAGCAAUGGAAGAUGACACCUGGAUCAGCGAUCUUGCCCACGGACAAAAUCAGCACCUCCUCGAUGAGGUCCUGAGCCUGCACCGAGAGUUGCAGCGUUCGGGACAGCCUGCUCGACCAGGUGAGCUGGACGCCCUCAGUAGGAAGCUUUCGAGCACGGGGACGUACUCGGCCAAAUCUGCAUACCAGGCGCAGUUCCAAGGCAGGAUGGCCACCAACUUUGAUCAACUCAUCUGGAAGGCCUGGGCGCCGGGGAAGAUCAAAAUCUUUGCGUGGUUGCUGCUGCGGGAUAGACUUUGGUGCAAUGACAGACUGCAGAGGCGAGGAUGGCCGAAUAGCUACUUCUGCCAACUCUGCGUCAGAAACCUCGAGUCCUCGAGCCACCUGUUCUGGAACUGCCCAGAGUCCAGGCAGGUCUAG
RNAcentral lists this ribosomal RNA (894 nucleotides) under Triticum aestivum (bread wheat). RNAcentral's name for it is "partial small subunit ribosomal RNA". Lineage: Eukaryota; Viridiplantae; Streptophyta; Magnoliopsida; Poales; Poaceae. The record is from RNAcentral.